RNAcentral lists this long non-coding RNA (2016 nucleotides) under Equus asinus (donkey). Its description in RNAcentral is "lncRNA (ENSEASG00005033222.1)". The record is from RNAcentral. Lineage: Eukaryota; Metazoa; Chordata; Mammalia; Perissodactyla; Equidae.
CCGGGGCGGGGCUAAGGGUAGGGGUGGCCCCUCGGUGGCAGCUCCGUGCGCCGCCCGGCCUGUCGCCCACACCGCGCGGUGCGCUCCGUCUGCGUGUUCGUCCACCUGGGCGCCCCUCUGCGGCCGAGUCCCAGCCCCGCACUCCGGGACCUGCCCGUGCUCCUCGCCUCCGCGGCCCCUUCGGCGGGGGAACCAGUACAGAGGACCCUCGCCCAGCGAAAAGCCCUCCCAGGCCUCGCGGAUAAGCGCCGGGCGGCGAGAGUGCCCCGGGGGUCCCGCUGACCCAGCGCAGCACAGGGCAGCCGCCGGCCCCGCUCUCGUCCUCGGGACCACCCCACCACCAGCACCACGUGCGCAGCGGGUCCAGCCCCAAGGUUUCCUGGAUGUCCCCGAGUCCUCGCCUGCGCCUGGCGAUCAGUGCCUCUGCCAGGCCCAGAGGUGGCUGGAAGAGGCUGCUCCCUAGCAGAAGACGUCAUUCCGAUGUGGUGUGCCCAGAAGAUGCAGAGGGUGAGGAGAGCGGCUCAGGAACUCAUGCUACCUGGCAGCCCUGGCCGCGGGCGUGUCCCUGGUUUCCCGGUGGUUCCCCAACCUCCGGAAAGGAGAGAACCAGUCCCCCGGCCCCUCCCGCCCACCAGGAUUCCGUCUGUAAGACGGAAGCCAGGAGAUGGCCAGGAAGGACAACCUGAACGCAGGCAAGUGGAGUGUCUUGACCCAGUAACAGACAUCAGAGGCCACCCAUCCAGGCGGAAAGCCAUCUCCAGUGGAGGGCCGAUCAGGGGCCAUCUGCGAGGGCAGGUUGCUCCUUCUGUCCGAGGCGGGCUUGGAAAGGUCUGUGCAGGACGGUGCCAAGGCCUGGCCAGGGUUUGGAGCCAUUCAGAGCGCAGGCCCCUAACGGGUCACUGGGCCAAGGUGCUUGCGGGCUUGUGGCCUGAAGACCUUUGUCCUGGGACCGACACCAGCCUGGUGUCCUGGUGGCAUACCACUUGGGGACCCUUCUUCUUCUGGCUCAGAGGGAGCAAAGGCUGCGUGCGUUAGAACAACAGAACGACGAGAAGUGGGAAGACCUGUCCGUGGACAUCCAACUUAUGGAGGAAGGCACGCCGGACUCCGAGGGGAAGCUGGAAUUGACCAAAACAGCUCUUAACACUUUCGGGGAAAUUAGUGAAAUCUGUCUAAGGGAGUGUCUGAGCUGAAGGAGUCCCUGAAACUGUGUGCAGAAGAAAUCAAAGCUGGAAAACCUGCUUGUCAUCUUGGAAGGACACGCUUUAAAGAACUUGCCAGAGGACCAGGGCUCCCUGGACGUGGCCUGAGAUGAGGGCAGGGAGAGGGGACACCAAGGCUCCAGGUGCACCUCCUCCUGGGCGGUGGGCCCCUCAGCUCCUGGGCCUGUGGCUGGAGCUCAGGGAGUCACCCCUCAAGUGCACCAUACCUGAGUCGAGAGCCACCUGAACCACAAGACCUAGAAACUCCAAGCCAUCCUGGCUUCUCCUACGAGUCACUCUCAGGCCUGAAGCUCUUAUUCCGGAGACACAAAGAUAAGUCCUUGGUGGGCUGGUGUCCCACCCCGUGGAGGUGCCGGGGCUCCUUCUCCUGUCGUCUCUCAUAACUAUACUUAUCCCCACGCUGACCUGUGCCCCCUGGAGUGCCUGUGUCUACAGCACCACCAGGCUACAGAGAGGCUAGUUGGUUAAACAAAAAGGGCCGAUCUGGAGUGGAGUCGAACAGGCUCUUCCCAGCCUGGUUUGGUUUCUACCACCUUUGGGGGUCCUCUUGGGGCUAUUCCGCUGCUUCCACUCUUAGGGCUUUGCAUCCUAAGCUGUCUGGUUUCCUGUGUUAGCAAAAGACUAGAAUCUAUUAAACUCCAAAUGGUAUUAACGAGGGAUAUGAGAGGUUAGGAGUCCAACUGGAUGACAAGCAAACCUACCUAAAAGUCAUUGGGCGUAAGCCCUGCUCCUCCACGGGCCCCUGGGACGCAGCCCUGCUCAGCUGGAAGUAGUUACGGAAGAUGCACCUUCA